CUUCUGUGGCCCUAACCAGGCUCUCCCUGAGUUGGGAGUGAGUUUCCAGAGAGCAGGGCUCUACACUUGGACAGACUGGGCAGGAGAGGCUCCAAGUAGGCAGCUGUAUCUGUCACCAGAGCUUGGAACAGAUUCCUG
Molecule: non-coding RNA, 138 nt
Organism: Rattus norvegicus (Norway rat)
Lineage: Eukaryota; Metazoa; Chordata; Mammalia; Rodentia; Muridae
Product: Nuclear RNase P
Source: Ensembl